Molecule: long non-coding RNA, 438 nt
Organism: Amphiprion ocellaris (clown anemonefish)
Lineage: Eukaryota; Metazoa; Chordata; Actinopteri; Pomacentridae
Source: Ensembl
GACAAGGAUAACCAUAUUACAGAUAUUAGCAAUGCAUAUCCAGCCAAGCAACAAAGUGUUUAAAUUAUCUGUAAUGCUCUUCCCACCACCACCUCUGUUUUGCCCUCCCACCAGAUGAGUGCUUGCUACAACCAUGCAAAGACAAUCAAGAUAAAGCCUGGACUUCUAUCUGGUCAAAGCCACUCCGUCAACCCACCUCAAGCCUCAGCCAUCCGUUGCCACUCCGGAUCCUUCCCUGUUCCAGAUCAUCCACGCUACACCUGAUUCUGGCUGCCACGUGCUCCUCACGUCAUCUUCUGGCCCUACCCUCGCCACACCACUGUCCUUACGUGCACCUGCAUGUCUUCUCCAGCCAUUGUUGGGUGCGUAUCUGAAGGGGACGAGCGGGAGUACAGGAUGGUCAUCUCUGACUUUGUGGACUGGUGUGAGCGAAACCAU